This 685-nucleotide ribosomal RNA is filed under the name uncultured bacterium. RNAcentral describes it as "bacterial SSU rRNA". It matches the Rfam family "Bacterial small subunit ribosomal RNA", at positions 135 to 809 of the family's 1533-position model. The record is from RNAcentral.
ACAGGGGGAUAACUGAUGGAAACGUCAGCUAAGACCGCAUAGGUGUAGAGAUCGCAUGAACUCUAUAUGAAAAGUGCUACGGGACUGGUAGAUGAUGGACUUAUGGCGCAUUAGCUGGUUGGUAGGGUAACGGCCUACCAAGGCGACGAUGCGUAGCCGACCUGAGAGGGUGACCGGCCACACUGGGACUGAGACACGGCCCAGACUCCUACGGGAGGCAGCAGUAGGGAAUUUUCGGCAAUGGGGGGAACCCUGACCGAGCAACGCCGCGUGAAGGAAGAAGUAAUUCGUUAUGUAAACUUCUGUCAUAGAGGAAGAACGGUGGAUAUAGGGAAUGAUAUCCAAGUGACGGUACUCUAUAAGAAAGCCACGGCUAACUACGUGCCAGCAGCCGCGGUAAUACGUAGGUGGCGAGCGUUAUCCGGAAUUAUUGGGCGUAAAGAGGGAGCAGGCGGCACUAAGGGUCUGUGGUGAAAGAUCGAAGCUUAACUUCGGUAAGCCAUGGAAACCGUAGAGCUAGAGUGUGUGAGAGGAUCGUGGAAUUCCAUGUGUAGCGGUGAAAUGCGUAGAUAUAUGGAGGAACACCAGUGGCGAAGGCGACGAUCUGGCGCAUAACUGACGCUCAGUCCCGAAAGCGUGGGGAGCAAAUAGGAUUAGAUACCCUAGUAGUCCACGCCGUAAACGA